GCCGCCUUAGCUCAGCUGGUAGAGCGACGCUCUCGUAAAGCGUAGGUCAUCGGUUCGAAUCCGAUAGGUGGCUCCA
RNAcentral lists this transfer RNA (76 nucleotides) under Janthinobacterium lividum. Its description in RNAcentral is "tRNA-Thr". It matches the Rfam family "tRNA". From Rfam's summary of the family: Transfer RNA (tRNA) molecules are approximately 80 nucleotides in length. Their secondary structure includes four short double-helical elements and three loops (D, anti-codon, and T loops). Further hydrogen bonds mediate the characteristic L-shaped molecular structure. tRNAs have two regions of fundamental functional importance: the anti-codon, which is responsible for specific mRNA codon recognition, and the 3' end, to which the tRNAs corresponding amino acid is attached (by aminoacyl-tRNA synthetases). tRNAs cope with the degeneracy of the genetic code in two manners: having more than one tRNA (with a specific anti-codon) for a particular amino acid; and 'wobble' base-pairing, i.e. permitting non-standard base-pairing at the 3rd anti-codon position. RNAcentral also lists the same sequence under 1 other name. The record is from RNAcentral. Lineage: Bacteria; Pseudomonadati; Pseudomonadota; Betaproteobacteria; Burkholderiales; Oxalobacteraceae.